Molecule: ribosomal RNA, 505 nt
Filed under: uncultured bacterium
Lineage: Bacteria
Description: bacterial SSU rRNA
Rfam family: Bacterial small subunit ribosomal RNA
Source: RNAcentral
UGAACGCUGGCGGUAUGCUUAACACAUGCAAGUCGAACGGUAACAGCAAGAGCUUGCUCUUGGCUGACGAGUGGCGGACGGGUGCGUAACGCGUAGGAAUCUGCCUGAUAGUGGGGGACAACUCGGGGAAACUCGAGCUAAUACCGCAUACGCCCUACGGGGGAAAGCGGGGGAUCUUCGGACCUCGCGCUAUCAGAUGAGCCUGCGUCGGAUUAGCUUGUUGGUGAGGUAACGGCUCACCAAGGCGACGAUCCGUAGCUGGUCUGAGAGGACGAUCAGCCACACUGGGACUGAGACACGGCCCAGACUCCUACGGGAGGCAGCAGUGGGGAAUAUUGGACAAUGGGGGCAACCCUGAUCCAGCAAUACCGCGUGUGUGAAGAAGGCCUGCGGGUUGUAAAGCACUUUCAGUUGGGAGGAAAAGUUCAAGUUUAAUACGCUUGAACCUUGACGUUACCAACAGAAGAAGCACCGGCUAACUCCGUGCCAGCCGCCGCGGUAAUAC